This 259-nucleotide ribosomal RNA is filed under the name uncultured bacterium. Its description in RNAcentral is "partial 16S ribosomal RNA". It matches the Rfam family "Bacterial small subunit ribosomal RNA", at positions 793 to 1050 of the family's 1533-position model. The record is from RNAcentral.
GUCCACGCCGUAAACGAUGAGUGCUAGGUGUUAGACCCUUUCCGGGGUUUAGUGCCGCAGCUAACGCAUUAAGCACUCCGCCUGGGGAGUACGACCGCAAGGUUGAAACUCAAAGGAAUUGACGGGGGCCCGCACAAGCGGUGGAGCAUGUGGUUUAAUUCGAAGCAACGCGAAGAACCUUACCAGGUCUUGACAUCCCUCUGACCGCUCUAGAGAUAGAGUUUUCCUUCGGGACAGAGGUGACAGGUGGUGCAUGGUU